RNAcentral lists this small nuclear RNA (23 nucleotides) under Arabidopsis thaliana (thale cress). RNAcentral describes it as "snRNA_14435". Lineage: Eukaryota; Viridiplantae; Streptophyta; Magnoliopsida; Brassicales; Brassicaceae. The record is from RNAcentral.
UUGACUUCAGCUUCUGAAAUCUU